UGGGGAAUAUUGGACAAUGGGCGAAAGCCUGAUCCAGCCAUGCCGCGUGUGUGAAGAAGGCCUUUUGGUUGUAAAGCACUUUAAGUGGGGAGGAAAAGCUUAUGGUUAAUACCCAUAAGCCCUGACGUUACCCACAGAAUAAGCACCGGCUAACUCUGUGCCAGCAGCCACGGUAAUACAGAGGGUGCAAGCGUUAAUCGGAAUUACUGGGCGUAAAGCGAGCGUAGGUGGUCAUUUAAGUCAGAUGUGAAAGCCCCGGGCUUAACCUGGGAACUGCAUCUGAUACUGGAUGACUAGAGUAGGUGAGAGGGAAGUAGAAUUCCAGGUGUAGCGGUGAAAUGCGUAGAGAUCUGGAGGAAUACCGAUGGCGAAGGCAGCUUCCUGGCAUCAUACUGACACUGAGGUUCGAAAGCGUGGGUAGCAAACAGGAUUAGAUACCCUGGUAGUCCACGCCGUAAACGAUGUCUACCAGUCGUUGGGUCUUUUAAAGACUUAGUGACGCAGUUAACGCAAUAAGUAGACCGCCUGGGGAGUACGGCCGCAAGGUUA
This 549-nucleotide ribosomal RNA is filed under the name uncultured bacterium. RNAcentral describes it as "bacterial SSU rRNA". It matches the Rfam family "Bacterial small subunit ribosomal RNA", at positions 355 to 896 of the family's 1533-position model. The record is from RNAcentral.